CCUACGGGCGGCUGCAGUGGGGAAUAUUGCACAAUGGGCGCAAGCCUGAUGCAGCCAUGCCGCGUGUGUGAAGAAGGCCUUCGGGUUGUAAAGCACUUUCAGCGGGGAGGAAGGCGGUGAGGUUAAUAACCUCAUCGAUUGACGUUACCCGCAGAAGAAGCACCGGCUAACUCCGUGCCAGCAGCCGCGGUAAUACGGAGGGUGCAAGCGUUAAUCGGAAUUACUGGGCGUAAAGCGCACGCAGGCGGUCUGUCAAGUCGGAUGUGAAAUCCCCGGGCUCAACCUGGGAACUGCAUUCGAAACUGGCAGGCUAGAGUCUUGUAGAGGGGGGUAGAAUUCCAGGUGUAGCGGUGAAAUGCGUAGAGAUCUGGAGGAAUACCGGUGGCGGAGGCGGCCCCCUGGACAAAGACUGACGCUCAGGUGCGAAAGCGUGGGGAGCAAACAGGAUUAGAUACCCCGGUAGUC
This 465-nucleotide ribosomal RNA is filed under the name uncultured Klebsiella sp. Its description in RNAcentral is "bacterial SSU rRNA". It matches the Rfam family "Bacterial small subunit ribosomal RNA", at positions 338 to 795 of the family's 1533-position model. The record is from RNAcentral. Lineage: Bacteria; Pseudomonadati; Pseudomonadota; Gammaproteobacteria; Enterobacterales; Enterobacteriaceae.